AUACGGGGGGUGCAAGCGUUGUUCGGAAUUAUUGGGCGUAAAGCGCGUGUAGGCGGUUUGUUAAGUCUGAUGUGAAAGCCCUGGGCUCGAACCCAGGAAGUGCAUUGGAAACUGGCAGACUUGAAUACGGGAGAGGGUAGUGGAAUUCCUGGUGUAGGAGUGAAAUCCGUGGAUAUCAGGAGGAACACCGGUGCGAAGGCGGCUGCCUGGACCGAUAUUGACGCUGAGACGCGAAAGCGUGGGUAGC
This 247-nucleotide ribosomal RNA is filed under the name uncultured bacterium. RNAcentral describes it as "partial 16S ribosomal RNA". It matches the Rfam family "Bacterial small subunit ribosomal RNA", at positions 523 to 769 of the family's 1533-position model. The record is from RNAcentral.